ACGUAGGUGGCAAGCGUUGUCCGGAAUUAUUGGGCGUAAAGAGCAUGUAGGCGGUUUUUUAAGUCUGGAGUGAAAAUGCGGGGCUCAACCCCGUAUGGCUCUGGAUACUGGAAGACUUGAGUGCAGGAGAGGAAAGGGGAAUUCCCAGUGUAGCGGUGAAAUGCGUAGAUAUUGGGAGGAACACCAGUGGCGAAGGCGCCUUUCUGGACUGUGUCUGACGCUGAGAUGCGAAAGCCAGGGUAGCGAACGG
This 250-nucleotide ribosomal RNA is filed under the name uncultured bacterium. RNAcentral describes it as "partial 16S ribosomal RNA". It matches the Rfam family "Bacterial small subunit ribosomal RNA", at positions 525 to 775 of the family's 1533-position model. The record is from RNAcentral.